RNAcentral lists this unclassified non-coding RNA (5300 nucleotides) under Leishmania donovani. RNAcentral describes it as "gene:LdHU3.31.0750(CDS-product:hypothetical_prote in_conserved)". Lineage: Eukaryota; Euglenozoa; Kinetoplastea; Trypanosomatida; Trypanosomatidae. The record is from RNAcentral.
UAUUCGUGUGCGCGGGCCCAUACAUAUGGUCACCUGCCUCCUUCUCUUGAUUUUGUUUUCUUUUCGAUCCUCUCGUUUCGCUCCUGCGUCUUGUGCGCGGCCGUCGCUGUGCCCGCGUGCCUCACUCGCCAUCUUUUCACCUCCCCCACCUCCUCAUCGUUUGCUUCUCCUCUGUGGAGUGGGGGAGCCUCACCGCGCUCCCCACCACCACCCCCUCCUCCCGUCUCUCUCGCUCUCUCUCUUAAGUACACACGCCUCGACACAUUCGACUGCCGCCCUCGCUCUUUUGUUUCGUGGCGUUGCUGCACAUUCCUGCACCCCACAUCCGCUACAAGGCGGCGUGUCUCUGCAGGAGCCGUCUACUCCUCCUAUGCCGUUGGACGACCAAAGGCUUCUCUGACAUCUCUUUCACCGCGGCAGAAGAGAGAGAGAGGUGCGCACGUAGUUCUGCGUGUGCGGGCUGCUACGCAGAUCUGUGAGCGUGAGCUGUGCAAACUAGCAAAGUCGAAGCGCCGCAGAGAUGCCCGGCUCCGGUAGCGCCGGCCCGAAGAGCAGGCCGGAGAUGUGUAGGUCCCCUAACAUGGAGGCUGCGAAGACGACAGCCUCAUCCAGUGAGGCGCCGACUACCAACUCCGCGACAGCGGCGACAAGGGGAAGUCGUCGCGCUCAAGGCUGGCACUUGGCUGUAGGCGGUGGUGCCCCUCCCGGUACCGCCGGUGCCCAUCACUCCGCGUUGGAUGCCAAGAUGCUGGGAAGUAGUGGUGCGAACAGCGGCAUCGCUCUUAGAUCCUCCGUGCAGUUUAGCAAAGAUACUCGGUACAGCCAGAACAGCCCUAGCGUGCCGCGGGUGUUUCACGGCGCCGCGAGCGAUGAAGCGGCCGACUUUCGUCAGAACAUGGCCGACUUCCUGACGGUGAUGUAUGGCGACAAGACGGCCAGCGGCGUCGUGGGGAUAGAUGAAAAAAGUGUUGGCGCGCCACACGCCAAAGGAAAGGCGUUCGUUGCUGAGUCGGGCAUCCCUGCUGCGCUGCUGGCAGCCGAAAGCGGGCCACUGCCGCGCGUGAGCUCCUCGGGUGGGGUGUCCCCGGGAAGCAAAGGCCCGCUCGUGAAGGGCCUCACUGCGAACAGCCGCCGCCACUCGCAAGGCGACCACAUCGAUACGCUCGUGGAGUCACUGGUGCGUGCCUACAGCCGCCGGACGACGUCAGCGCGCGGCGAGUUUCAAGGCACCACCGGGCCAGACGACGAUAGGCCUAUCACAUACAACGUUGCCCGCCAGACCAACUACUGCCGUACACAGGCGUCCCCACGACUGAGCCGUGGCAACGGCGUCGGCGCCGGCAGCGGACACAAUCACGAGGUUUCAGUGUUUGUGAGCCAGGCGAUGGGCAACAUCCUCAGCCCCGGCGGCAUUCGAGGCCAAGGGGCCGUGUCGAAUCGCUCUAUCCUGUCCUCUCUUGGGCUGGACAGGAACCUCUUCAACUUGAUGCCCUUCCAGACACGGAGCAACCUGGAGAAUGUCACUGAAGAGGACUCCGACACGUUGUUGGAGCCGGUGUACGUGGGCAAGCAGGCGAUGUUUCGCUCAGUGGGCACGCGGCCCAACAUCAGCGACAUCUCCGUCAGCAAGUCCAUGCGAGGGGUGAUGUCGUCAGCGCCGCGUGAGUGUGGCAAGAACGGGCACCGCAACACCACCCAAGUGCCACUGCGUGGUGACAGCGGUGGCCCUCGACGAUCCAGCGGGGGCACUGUGCCGUUGUGGCAGAGGCAGGGACUAGGGAGGAGCAAACAGAGCCUUGACAGCGUUGAAGUGAUGGACAAGAGCAGAGUGAAUCAGCGAGGCGGCAGCGGCGCGGGCGGUAGCACGAAGAAUAGGAACGCUACACUCUCUAUGUCCCUUGACUCUAAGGCGCUCGGCAAGGCUGGCGGUGCGGACGAGGAGGAUGACAGCUGGAGCGAUGAGCCCGCCGGCAUCCUGGCGACCAAGGUGAUGGAGGGUGAGAGCCCUGCAAUCGUCUCGUCUGCCCGAAGCCUCUUGGACUACUGCAAGACACGUGCUGACGUCACGCUGCAGAAGGCACUAGGGGCGCUGCAAGACGAGGAGCAGCUGAAGCGUGACGUCGUGAUCGCCGUCGAGCACCAGUUGUGCGUGUACAUCUAUUCUCUGGAACGUGCGGAAAGGCCGAAGAAGGGCGGAGGGGCUGCGGGUAUCAGCGAUCGGAGAAAGGGGAGCGGAGAGAAAUCCGCCAACUCGAAUCUAGCAGCCGAACGUGAGAAGGUCACCAGCGGAGAAGCAGGCGCAGGCGGGUAUCCGAGUAAUCGUGACACUAUGAACAGCGAGGUCGCCCCUCUCACGGGGAACGUCAUGGACUUCUUACAAGAAAGCACUGCCGGGGCCAACCGCUCGAAGUCUCUGAAGUCUGCCUCGAUGAAAAUGUGAGUGAGCUGCGCUUUUGCUCGUGCGUGCGCGCGGUGUCUGCUCCUCCGGUGUGGAUUACCCCGUAAGUGUGCAUAAGAGGCACUUCCGAGUCGCCUUUUCUUAUCCACUCUCUAGCUCUCUCCGUAGGUGGUGCCUUCGUCGUGGCAGAUGCCCCUUUCAUACCUCCCACCACCACCGGUGCUUCGAAACGCCCCAUCCUUCCCCUCCUCACCGCUCCCCUCAAGGGGAUUUGCGGCGAGAGCAACCUGUUUAUGCUUUCCUUUUCCUCUCGUACUUCGUUAAUUUCUUGUUUGCUCGUUGCUCUCCCGGCCCGCCCCCCUCCCCGCUCCGCACGCUCUGCUCGCCUGUCCUUCGUGUGCCCGUCUGUUUUUUUUUUCUUGGUCGGACCGCAUCUCUGUUCCAUGCCUAUUCAUGCUUGUUUUACACCUCCGCCGCGCAUGUCUGGUGUACCUGCGCGGCAACGUUUUUUUUUUUGCCUUUUUUUUGGAAUUGUGGCGGUAGCGGAGGUACUGGUGGCGGUUGUGGCACCUCCGCUACUUCCUUCAUCCUCCUUCAUCCUCAUGCCACCUUCAUCGUGCAAAAAGCCCUUUGCCCUUUCUACGUAUCCAUUUAUACAGGAGCAGCUAUACAACGAACGCGCAUGUGGAACGCACACGCACAAACUCUUUCUCUGUAUUUUGCUUUACGAGGCGCCUGGGUGUCUGCGCCUGUGCGUGGACUCUCCUCUCGGGCUUGGCCUGCCGCGCUGGCAUGGUGUGGGUCUCGCCGUUCUGUUUGGUUGUCACUCUUCUUUGUUGCUCCCCUCAUGACCGGGAGGGUGGUGGUGGACACCUCAGCGUAGUAUCAGGGUGCAGUACUCCCACCCUUAGUGUCGGCAGACAAGUCUGGCCUGGCGCCUUACCGGGGAGACUAGUGGUCAUGGUCAGGCGUGUACCAGCCCACUGCGCAUCCUGUCGGCUACUCGGCAACUAUAGCAGGCUAUGGGUACGUUGAGCGCAGACGCAUGCUCAUGCGUGGGUUUCUUCCGCCUGUGUGACACCCACUCGUGUGAGAGGCGUGCGGAUUCAGAAGAAGGUGGAACGCCCCUGCGGCCACAGACGGAGGGCAGCGCCCUACCUGUCGCGUCACAUGCGGGCAAGCCAACCCCAGACACGCCCCCUCCCCAGGCAACAACGCCGUCCUGAAGCUGGCCACAGGAUGCGAAUAAAUGCGAGCACUGUGCGCGCUGUCAUGCACAGCUGGCAUGGUCUAUCACGUCCGAAGAAGGCGCCCGGAGGCCGGGGGGCGGGGGAACGCGCGUGAUGGGCGACAAAGGCGCAGAAGUAUGCACACCGAUCAGCCCCACAGCGCAUGCGUGCGAAGUGUGCGGCGUCUCCUGCAUCCGAUCGGGGUGGGCUGAUGCGGCGCAGGUGCCGGAAGCGUCCGCGGAGCACCCCGAGCUACACCAUCGAGCUCUCCAGACUCCAUUGUACAGAGUCUCGACACUAUAUUAUGCAAUGCCGCGGCCUGAGGCGACUGAGGGUGAAGCAUGGCAUACGCAGGCAGGAUGCUCAGGGCCUCAGAGUGCCCUGGCUUGAGGCAGGCCAACUUCCGCCGUGAGCUCGUGCGGCGUGCACCUAGAUCACCGCUUCCUCACUACCCGCACGACGGGCGCCGCUGCUUCCGUCCUGGAACAGGGGACUUGGUGCGGCCCGCUUGCAUCACGACAUUGCUGUCCACCCAGGCUCGUCAGACGCAUGGCCCGGCUCGACGGCUGCACAGCUCGUCCGAGGCGACGAGGCUUUGGCCGUGUGCCUACGAAGACAGAUGAGCUGCGCUUGUAUGUGUAUACAUUUGAGGACGGCUCAUUGUGGAACGGCAGGUCUCGAAACGAAUACCCCCCUUCUUUCGCACCCCUGCUUACUCCCCUCUCUGAGCAUUUACAUCGUAUCUUUGCCUCUCAGCCGGCUCACUAUUUCUUUCUUGGUGUCGGCGUGUGUGGUGUGGUGCGUGUGUGUGUGCCUCGCGUGCGAGGCAUUCCCUCUGCCCUCCCCCUCCCCUCCCGUCUUCCAGUCGCUGUUUCUUUUGGCUCUUGUGUACCGCUGUUUGAGCACCUCCACACACAGGCAGGUGCGCGGCACCCUGAAGCGUUCGGUGACUGCACAGUGGAGAAACACGAUCAGCAGGGAUCAGGGCAGGGGUACCACGUCAUGCGGUGUCUCUACUCCCUCCUCGGCGGCGGAUCGCUCACCCGCAGCUUUGGCACGAAGGCGUUGUUUUAUUAUUUUUUUUUUUGACCUCGGCGCGUGUGCAUCUGUCUGUGCGCCCGCUCAUGUGUCUGCCGGUGCGCGGCAUCUGUGCCGUCUUCCCCUCCUCCACGCUGCCACCUCCCCCACCCCCAUCCAUCCAUCCAUCCAUCCACCCCAUGUGCGUAUCUUCUUUUUUCUGCCCCGUUCUCACUGUCUCGUGCGCUUUGUACGGGCCACUGCUGGUGAAGUAGCGGGGCGUUGCCGCGUACGGUGCCGGGCGGGAGGGGCCCACUGCCCUCCCUCUGCCUUCUCGCCCUUGGCCUGCCUUCUUUGCUUCGACGGCGUACUCCUUUGGCUUCUCUCGUGUAUGCUUGUGGGCUCGUUGCUUUUUGUUCACCGGUGCAUCGUCCUUCCUUUUUUUUCCCCCUUCGACGUUAUUCUUUCCCCUCCCUCCGUCCUCUUUUGUUUUUUUUUUUGCUCGCUCGGCAUCUCUGUCUCUCCCUUGGUGGGGUGCGAGCACGUUUCUCUGUCGCCUUGUUGCUACUACGCACAUGCGCGCUUGUAUGUGUGCGUGUGUGUAGUCACGGAGACGCAUGCCGCCCACGCUGUGCAGCAUAUCCUUUGUUGGAGCG